This 24-nucleotide microRNA is filed under the name Glycine max (soybean). Its description in RNAcentral is "gma-miR10446". Lineage: Eukaryota; Viridiplantae; Streptophyta; Magnoliopsida; Fabales; Fabaceae. The record is from miRBase by way of RNAcentral.
UCAACUCAAGUCGAGCUCAAGCCU